CAGCACAGUAACUUAAAAGCUGUAAUCUAUCGUUACCAAAUAAGAACUUAAUAUUCGGGUUUAUAUAUAACGAUUUAGAAGAAACAGUGAUGUGAAGUCCGAGCAUCUCACCGCAAGAAUCAGUGAUAUGGCAAAUUGGAAAGCCGCAUGCAUGGCCAGGCCAGUCAAGGGUAAGCAAUCGUACCUCUACCUCGUACAAUUCAAUCUCACUGACACCGCGUGUUGUCACGGCCGUGGCACAAGCUACUUGGAUUUUCAAGAGAAGCCAACCCAACCCAUGUGAAUUUGUUUGUACUUUUUCUAUUUAUUUAUUACUUAUCGCAGAAAAACCAAAUGCACAAUUUGACUUGGAAAUUUGCCAAUUUCACUCACUCUCACUCAAAUUACUGCAGGUUUCACGGCUCAUACUUAAACGGUGCCUGCCUUGUUGGCUUUUAAGAGUUUGCGCAAAUUUAUGUGUCAAUUUUACAUAGAAAAUUUGCCAAAAUGAAAGAGUUUUAUUGCAAUCUUACAUUUCUUAAAAAUUUUAUUUAUUUAAAUCUCUCAUUUUGAUUAUCUUUUUGACAAAAAAAAAAAAAUGACCACGAGGGCAGCUAUGUGAUUCAAAUGUUUGUGCCCAUGUUCAUGUCGCAUUAAUAACUACGAUGAUGAUGGGAUUUAGGUUAAAUUAAUGAAAGCUCAUGUGACUUUAAUUUUCUUGCGUGUUCACUGAGAGUGAAGAGGGAGGUGCGUAGAAUGGAUAGCAUUUUGGGAAUCGCUUUAAUUCCCAAUCAACAAUAUGAUUGCAGAUUUGACUCCGAUUUUGUGCCCAAAUUAUUAAAUAACUUGCACAACGUGAUCCCCACUUGCUUCCUUUUCCUUUCCUUUAAUUGCGAUCAACUUUAAGAUGGAUUAAUUAAUAAUUGGAAACGAAGGAAUAGGGCUUCAAUUAAAUGUAAUCUUGAACAUUAAUGUCUCCUUUCAUUAUUCAUAAUAUUUUAAUUCCAAGGGGUUGAAUACUUGAAUUAUAUUUUCCACCCUUUUUUUUCCAAAUAGUUUUAAUCA
This 1044-nucleotide long non-coding RNA is filed under the name Citrus x clementina. Its description in RNAcentral is "Citrus clementina (C. clementina) long non-coding RNA (CCLE_LNC006408)". Lineage: Eukaryota; Viridiplantae; Streptophyta; Magnoliopsida; Sapindales; Rutaceae. The record is from RNAcentral.